RNAcentral lists this long non-coding RNA (1135 nucleotides) under Equus asinus (donkey). RNAcentral's name for it is "lncRNA (ENSEASG00005029566.1)". Lineage: Eukaryota; Metazoa; Chordata; Mammalia; Perissodactyla; Equidae. The record is from RNAcentral.
UGCUGAAUGGGGAUUUUGGUCGGAUGUUGAGUUUACCUGGAAUGCCCCGGUGCUAUUUUGGGAAGACAGACAUCCUAUGGAAACAAUGAAGUGGAAAAGAAAACAACUAAAGCAAAAUCCAGAGCCCAGUUUCUGCUAACCCAGCUCCACACAGCCUGGGCAGGCCGUGGAAGCCCGUCAGGCGUGCAAAGGGCUGAGACUGUGUGUGUCCGGUUUACCAGCAGAGAAUGUGAGAUGUAGAAAAAGGAUCCCUUUGACAUUUCCAACAAGUCAGUGACGAAAUGGAAAGAUCCUGGGAACAGUCUGCAGCUAUGAGGAAGGAACUGUGCUCUGUGAUCAUGCCGGACAGAAGGAGGACAGAGUCAAAUGGGCUAACAUGUGUCUGUGCUCCUCUUGAGAGGCAAACCACAGGCCCAAAUCACAGCACUAACAAGUGGCAAAGCAAAGGAAGGAAUGCAGGUGCAGCUGGUUCCAGCGCUCAGGGCUCCCUCCUUCCCUGGAUGCGGAGAAUAUUCUAGCCUUCCUCGCCAAAACAGGCAGAGCAGAGCCAAGAGAUUUUGCAAAGACUGAGUCAUGAAGAAGGAGCCAGGCCUCCCCUGGAUGAGCCUUGGAAAGCCCAACCACAGGGUCACAAAAAACAGUGAGGAAACAGAGGCACAGAGAGGUUAAGCAGUCUGCCUGAGGUCACCAAGUGAGAGAACUGAGAACUGUGAACCCACAGCUUUUGGAGUCUUAUACCUCUAGGCGGGAGAAUUUUCAGUCUGGGACAUGACUGAGGGAGUGGAAAUAAAGCGGAGGUUAGCAGUGUCCUUAUUCCCACGAGGACAGGCCAGGAGCUCUGGCCCUGCCACAUUCAGGCCCCUGGGACCCACAGCACUGCAGCAGAACCAGAGAAGGUGAGACACUCUGACCACAUCCCACAAGGAUUAAAUCUGAAUCUCCAGGUGCAGCCCAGGAAUCAGCUUGUUAGAGCCUCUCUGGUGAUUCCAAUGCACAGUCAAGGUUGAGAAGCAACCUCCCCGCUGUAUAGAUGGGGACACUGAGCCCAGGGAGGGGAAGUAGAUUUCCCCAGGCUGUGCAACCCAUACCACCACUAAGGACUCCAUCCAGGGUCUUCUAAUUCUCCAUCAGCCAG